Molecule: ribosomal RNA, 253 nt
Filed under: uncultured bacterium
Lineage: Bacteria
Description: partial 16S ribosomal RNA
Rfam family: Bacterial small subunit ribosomal RNA
Source: RNAcentral
UACGGGGGGGGCAAGCGUUGUUCGGAAUUACUGGGCGUAAAGGGCUCGUAGGCGGCCAACUAAGUCAGACGUGAAAUCCCUCGGCUUAACCGGGGAACUGCGUCUGAUACUGGAUGGCUUGAGAUUGGGAGAGGGAUGCGGAAUUCCAGGUGUAGCGGUGAAAUGCGUAGAUAUCUGGAGGAACACCGGUGGCGAAGGCGACAUCCUGGACCAACACUGACGCUGAUGCGCGAAAGCAUGGGGAGCGAACAGG